AACGAACGCUGGCGGCAUGCCUAACACAUGCAAGUCGAACGAGACCUUCGGGUCUAGUGGCGCACGGGUGCGUAACGCGUGGGAACCUGCCCUUAGGUUCGGAAUAACUCCCCGAAAGGGGUGCUAAUACCGGAUAAUGUCUUCGGACCAAAGAUUUAUCGCCUUUGGAUGGGCCCGCGUUGGAUUAGCUAGUUGGUAGGGUAAAAGCCUAUCAAGGCGACGAUCCAUAGCUGGUUUGUGAGGAUGGUCCGCCACACUGGGACUGAGACACGGCCCAGACUCCUACGGGAGGCAGCAGUGGGGAAUAUUGGACAAUGGGCGAAAGCCUGAUCCAGCAAUGCCGCGUGAGUGAUGAAGGCCUUAGGGUUGUAAAGCUCUUUUACCCGGGAUGAUAAUGACAUUACCAGGAGAAUAAGCUCCGGCUAACUCCGUG
Molecule: ribosomal RNA, 433 nt
Filed under: uncultured bacterium
Lineage: Bacteria
Description: partial 16S ribosomal RNA
Rfam family: Bacterial small subunit ribosomal RNA
Source: RNAcentral